GUGAGGAAUAUUGCGCAAUGGGGGAAACCCUGACGCAGCGAUGCCGCGUGGGUGAAGAAGGCCCUCGGGUCGUAAAGCCCUGUCAGGCGGGAAGAAUGGGUUCCUGGUGAAUAGCCAGGAGCUGUGACGGUACCGCCGAAGGAAGCACCGGCUAACUCCGUGCCAGCAGCCGCGGUAAGACGGAGGGUGCGAGCGUUAUUCGGAAUUAUUGGGCGUAAAGAGCGUGUAGGCGGCCGGUUAAGUCAGGCGUGAAAGCCCAGGGCUCAACCCUGGAAGUGCGCUUGAUACUGGUCGGCUUGAGUCCGGGAGAGGGAAGCGGAAUUCCGGGUGUAGAGGUGAAAUUCGUAGAUAUCCGGAGGAACACCGGUGGCGAAGGCGGCUUCCUGGACCGAGACUGACGCUGAGACGCGAAAGCGUGGGGAGCAAACAGGAUUAGAAACCCUAGUAGUCC
RNAcentral lists this ribosomal RNA (451 nucleotides) under uncultured bacterium. RNAcentral describes it as "bacterial SSU rRNA". It matches the Rfam family "Bacterial small subunit ribosomal RNA", at positions 354 to 796 of the family's 1533-position model. The record is from RNAcentral.